AGAACGAACGCUGGCGGCACGCCUAACACAUGCAAGUCGAGCGCCCAGCAAUGGGAGCGGCGGACGGGUGAGUAACACGUGGGAAUAUGCCUUUCGGUACGGAACAACUCAGGGAAACUUGAGCUAAUGCCGUAUACGCCCUUACGGGGAAAGAUUUAUCGCCGAAAGAUUAGCCCGCGUCUGAUUAGCUAGUUGGUGAGGUAAUGGCUCACCAAGGCUUCGAUCAGUAGCUGGUUUGAGAGAACGACCAGCCACACUGAGACUGAGACACGGCCCAGACUCCUACGGGAGGCAGCAGUGGGGAAUCUUGGACAAUGGGGGAAACCCUGAUCCAGCGAUGCCGCGUGAGUGAUGAAGGCCUUCGGGUUGUAAAACUCUUUCGACGGGGACGAUAAUGACGGUACCCGUAGAAGAAGCUCCGGCUAACUUCGUGCCAGCAGCCGC
Molecule: ribosomal RNA, 444 nt
Filed under: uncultured bacterium
Lineage: Bacteria
Description: SSU rRNA
Rfam family: Bacterial small subunit ribosomal RNA
Source: RNAcentral